UCCUCAGUGCAAAAUUCUUCCACAGUGAGCAGAGGGGAAAAUUCUCUUAUCUGUUGAAGGCCUGAAUCUAGCUGCCAUAAGGUUUAUAUUAUUUUCCCCAUUAACUCAUGAAAAACCAUAAUAGAUACAGAUUGCAUGGUGGAAUUUUUGGGAAUUCUUCUUAUUUUAGUGGUAACAGGAAGAUAAGCAUAGGAUUGUUCUCCAGGAAUUAACUACUCAAAGUUUAAAGAAAGGGAAAUAAGAAUAAAAUAUAAGAAGAAGCCUUCUUAAUUUCUGCAUUAAAAUUUGCUUGCACGGAGUCUUGGAGGGGUGUUCAAAUAGGAAAAAAAAAAAAUCCCUAAAAAAAAGCAGGCUUCUGUAUUUUUUUAAGAAUACUCAGAAUAUUCCCUUCCAGCACACAUAAAUAAUGGAUUACCAAAGCUUUAUUACUUUUUGGGGAUGACUUGCCUGCCCUUCUAUCAGGUUUGCAGCUCUUAAAAUCACAUUAGCAGUUGUGCUGUUUCCCAUUGCGGUGCUGGUUCCUUGCUCCCAGCAGCUGGAAUUUGCUCAUAAUGAUGCUCCUAUUUCCUCCUGCUCCCUGCAGCAUAAUAAAUGCUUGCUGGCAUUAUCACAAGCUCACUAAUUCCCCCCCAGCUCUCAUGCCACAGAUCUGUGCUCUCGCUGUGCUGACUCAGCAGGCACUUCCCCAUUCCUAAAAAAACUGGGUUUGGAGAAUUUUUUCAAUCCAGAGCAGCAUUUCAGAGAGGCUUCUGUGCUGCUGAGGCAGCACAUGUGAAGAGAUACCAAAUCCACUUCAAAGAAGCUCAUGGAAAGAGGAAAACAAACAAACAAAAAAAGAGGUGGUGCCAGCCCACGUGCUCAAAAUAUUUUUCUCCACUUCUGGAUAAUUUCUAAGUGCUGAUGUCGGGGGAUUAACAUACUCAACCAGUGUGAAAUGAGAAUUCGCUCUCUCAGAAAAACCAAAUGUGAAUCUGAUUCUGCUAAUAAUAUCUGCUUGAAACACCUGGAUCUGUAUAAUAGAAGAAUCUGGAGACUUUCCCUCCCAGAGGGUUUCAGGACAGUUCUUCUGGAAUCAUCAGCUUGUCAGUGUGGUGUGGACAGAGCCAGGACCCCGUGCAGGCAGGAAUGUGAGCCAGGAUCCCAGGGACCCCCACAAUGUGGAGGGCAGAGCUUGGUUCUGAGCCGAGCUGUGAUGAAGAGAGCAGCCCUAGAAUAUGAUAAAUUUUUAUUUGUUUUCAGAUGGAAUUUUAGCAGGCACUAAAAAUGAACUGCUGGAGCUAAUUCUCCCCAUUCUAGGGAAGAGACAACCUGGUUUGGUAACCAGAAGGUUGCAAUACCUUCUGGUUUUAAUGACUUUAUAGAAUUAAUUAUAUAUAUAUACACCAAUUUUUAUACAAAGAGCUCAAAUAAACUUAAGCAGAGGCUUGAACAUGAAUUUACACAGCAUUUUCACUGUGAUUCCAUGGACUCCAGCGGUGCCAAACCUCCUCAGCAUUCCACCAGCUCCUUGUGCCUGGUUCCCAGUGCUUCUGGUAUUCUCCAUCCAGGUCAGCUGCUCACUGGCAGAGGUAAACUGGGAAGGACAGACAAGGAAGACACCCAGGGGAUGUUCCUCACUGCUGUGGGAUUGUCAGGCUGAAGUAAAUGAAUUUAAGCACGAAACAGCCCAGAGGUGAGAAAUGGUUGAAGAUGACUCUUGGGAAGAGCCCUAAAUGUUGCUGGAAGCCCAGCUUGAGGGCAGCAAAUAUAAAAAGCUUAUUUCUAC
Long non-coding RNA from Taeniopygia guttata (zebra finch), 1765 nucleotides. NCBI's taxonomy places the organism in Eukaryota, Metazoa, Chordata, Aves, Passeriformes, Estrildidae. The record is from Ensembl.